This is a long non-coding RNA of Acanthaster planci (crown-of-thorns starfish), 307 nucleotides long. The record is from RefSeq and is a predicted model, not a curated record. NCBI's taxonomy places the organism in Eukaryota, Metazoa, Echinodermata, Asteroidea, Valvatida, Acanthasteridae.
CAAUGGUAACUGAUGACUUGUCUUCCAAAGAAUUGUGAGUGGAAUUUGGACGUGGUAACCCCAAUGUCGACAGUUUGUGACGCCAAAUCAAACUUUUUCCUCCAAAACCUCCUCCAGUUGUCCAAAUGGUGACGAUGACUAUUUGAUGCACUGAUAUUCCAGGUGUUGGUCGUUCAAGAACUCUCUAGCGUGAGCCUUUUCGCCGCUGAUCCAGCAACACCCAGGGCGUGGAGUGCACAGCAGGCCUCGUGAGUAUGAGAUCGCACUGUGCACUGAACUCAGGGCUGUGUACGACUUACAUUGGUGG